RNAcentral lists this transfer RNA (71 nucleotides) under archaeon. RNAcentral describes it as "tRNA-Trp". It matches the Rfam family "tRNA". Rfam says of the family: Transfer RNA (tRNA) molecules are approximately 80 nucleotides in length. Their secondary structure includes four short double-helical elements and three loops (D, anti-codon, and T loops). The record is from RNAcentral.
GGGGCUUUGAUGUAACGGCAACAUAGUCGGCUCCAGACCGGCCCAUAAGAGUUCAAAUCUCUUAAGCCCCA